GUGCAAUUGCUGGCGAUUUCCGGCUGUACAGCACACAAACCAAACAGCACUGAAGAAAAAGUAGAAAACAAGCAAAUAAGAAUGUUUGAAUGUUGUAAAAGCAGUACUGACUGUACCAACGAUCGCAGUAUAAAUUUAACUACCUUCAAGCUAAUAUAUUUCCACAAACGACACUAGGACGAGCUCAAGUCAAGCAUGGUUUGCCUGGAAUAUAUGGAAUCGCAGUAUCAUAUGACAUUGAUGUAACACUCCCAAUCUCAUCCUCUGUGUGUGUGGCCCUUUGAAUGUAAUUAAUGAGCCGCAAUAUGUAUUAAAUAGCAAUGAGAAGGAACGACUCGCCAGACCACUCCACGAUUCCGUAAUGGCCUGUCACUCAAUUGCAACUGAAACUGCAAUAGCAGCAUCAGACAAUAUUCUUUGUUGAGUCAAGAGGACACUGCAAGACAAUUUCUCGGCCACUUGUCAAAAUAAUUUGCGCCUCGCAUGGAUCCGGGUAGUCGGAUACCUGCCGUGCAAUUGUUGACUUAGUUGUUCUCCCACCAGAUGAUGACGAGAUGGGAAAUGUGUGAGAAUUUCUUAAGCAAACCGAAACUGAGGCUGCUCGAGAGG
RNAcentral lists this long non-coding RNA (609 nucleotides) under Drosophila guanche. Lineage: Eukaryota; Metazoa; Arthropoda; Insecta; Diptera; Drosophilidae. The record is from RNAcentral.